Molecule: ribosomal RNA, 503 nt
Filed under: uncultured bacterium
Lineage: Bacteria
Description: partial 16S ribosomal RNA
Rfam family: Bacterial small subunit ribosomal RNA
Source: RNAcentral
AAUGAACGCUGGCGGCGUGUCUUAAGCAUGCAAGUCGUGUGGCAAGGGUAGCAAUACCCCUAGAGCGGCGGACUGGCGAGUAACGCGUGGGUGAUCUGCCCUUGGGUUGGGGAUAGCCAUUAGAAAUAGUGGGUAAUACCGAAUACGAUGGCGAGACUGCGGUCUUGUCAUGACAGGCUCUUAGGCGCCUCCCGAGGAUGAGCCCGCGUCGCAUUAGCUAGUUGGUGAGGUAACGGCCCACCAAGGCGAUGAUGGGUAGGCGGCCUGAGAGGGUGUACGCCCACACUGGGACUGAGAUACGGCCCAGACUCCUACGGGAGGCAGCAGCUAAGAAUAUUCCGCAAUGGACGAAAGUCUGACGGAGCGACGCCGCGUGGAUGACGAAGGCCGAAAGGUUGUAAAAUCCUUUUGUUGGGGAAGAAUAAGGCUGGGAGGGAAUGCCCGGCUGAUGACAUGAACCGACGAAUAAGUCCCGGCUAACUACGUGCCAGCAGCCGCGGUAA